Molecule: ribosomal RNA, 1311 nt
Filed under: metagenome
Description: bacterial SSU rRNA
Rfam family: Bacterial small subunit ribosomal RNA
Source: RNAcentral
GCUAAUACCGAAUAAGCCCACGGGUCGGCAUCGACCAGAGGGAAAAGGAGCAAUCCGCUUUGAGAUGGCCUCGCGUCCGAUUAGCUAGUUGGUGAGGUAAUGGCCCACCAAGGCGACGAUCGGUAGCCGGACUGAGAGGUUGAACGGCCUCAUUGGGACUGAGACACGGCCCAGACUCCUACGGGAGGCAGCAGUGGGGAAUAUUGCACAAUGGGGGAAACCCUGAUGCAGCGACGCCGCGUGGAGGAAGAAGGUCUUCGGAUUGUAAACUCCUGUCGUUGAGGAAGAUAAUGACGGUACUCAACAAGGAAGUGACGGCUAACUACGUGCCAGCAGCCGCGGUAAAACGUAGGUCACAAGCGUUGUCCGGAAUUACUGGGUGUAAAGGGAGCGCAGGCGGGAAGACAAGUUGGAAGUGAAAUCCAUGGGCUCAACCCAUGAACUGCUUUCAAAACUGUUUUUCUUGAGUAGUGCAGAGGUAGGCGGAAUUCCCGGUGUAGCGGUGGAAUGCGUAGAUAUCGGGAGGAACACCAGUGGCGAAGGCGGCCUACUGGGCACCAACUGACGCUGAGGCUCGAAAGUGUGGGUAGCAAACAGGAUUAGAUACCCUGGUAGUCCACACCGUAAACGAUGAUUACUAGGUGUUGGAGGAUUGACCCCUUCAGUGCCACAGUUAACACAAUAAGUAAUCCACCUGGGGAGUACGACCGCAAGGUUGAAACUCAAAGGAAUUGACGGGGGCCCGCACAAGCAGUGGAGUAUGUGGUUUAAUUCGACGCAACGCGAAGAACCUUACCAAGUCUUGACAUCCUGCGACGGAUAUAGAAAUAUGUCUUUCCUCCGGGACGCAGAGACAGGUGGUGCAUGGUUGUCGUCAGCUCGUGUCGUGAGAUGUUGGGUUAAGUCCCGCAACGAGCACAACCCUUAUGGUCAGUUACUACGCAAGAGGACUCUGGCCAGACUGCCGUUGACAAAACGGAGGAAGGUGGGGAUGACGUCAAAUCAUCAUGCCCUUUAUGACUUGGGCUACACACGUACUACAAUGGCGUUAAACAAAGAGAAGCAAGACCGCGAGGUGGAGCAAAACUCAGAAACAACGUCCCAGUUCGGACUGCAGGCUGCAACUCGCCUGCACGAAGUCGGAAUUGCUAGUAAUCGUGGAUCAGCAUGCCACGGUGAAUACGUUCCCGGGCCUUGUACACACCGCCCGUCACACCAUGAGAGCCGGGGGGACCCGAAGUCGGUAGUCUAACCGCAAGGAGGACGCCGCCGAAGGUAAAACUGGUGAUUGGGGUGAAGUCGUAACAAGGU